CCCUUAGAUAUCCUAGGCUGCACGCGAGCUACAAUGGUAUAUAUAAAAGGUUGCUGCUCUGAGAGGACUGGCAAUACCCUGAUAUAUAUCGUAUUUGGAAUAGAUUUUUGAAAUUAUCAAUCUUGAACGAGGAAUUCCUAGUAAAAAUAUUUCAUCAUAAUGUUUUGAUUGUGUCCCUGCCCUUUGUACACACCGCCCGUCGCUCCUACCGAUUGAAUAUUCCGGUGAGAAGAUAGGAGAAAAAUCUUUUGAUUUUUUGAAUAUUUUUGAACCUUGAUAUUUAGAGGAAGGAGAAGUCGUANCA
This 304-nucleotide ribosomal RNA is filed under the name uncultured eukaryote. RNAcentral describes it as "partial 18S ribosomal RNA". It matches the Rfam family "Eukaryotic small subunit ribosomal RNA", at positions 1470 to 1796 of the family's 1831-position model. The record is from RNAcentral.